GAUGAAGAACGUAGUAAAAUGCGAUAAGUAGUGUGAAUUGCAGAAUUCAGUGAAUCAUCGAAUCUUUGAACGCACAUUGCGCCCUUUGGUAUUCCUUAGGGCAUGCCUGUUCGAGCGUCAUUUUCACCUUCAAGCGCAGCUUGGUGUUGGGCGUCUGUCCUGCUGUCGGCACGGACUCGCCUCAAAAUGAUUGGCAGCCACUUCAGCGGCUUUGAGCGCAGCAGAAUUGCGUCUCUGGCGGCGAAAAGUGGCAUCCAUAAGCACACCUUUUUAUUUUGACCUCGGAUCAGGUAGGGAUACCCGCUGAACUUAAGCAUAUCAAUAAGCGGAGGA
RNAcentral lists this unclassified non-coding RNA (333 nucleotides) under soil metagenome. RNAcentral's name for it is "partial contains 5.8S ribosomal RNA, internal transcribed spacer 2, and large subunit ribosomal RNA". The stretch from base 1 to 120 matches the Rfam family "5.8S ribosomal RNA", at positions 35 to 154 of the family's 154-position model. The record is from RNAcentral.